UGGGGAAUCUUCCGCAAUGGGCGCAAGCCUGACGGAGCAACGCCGCGUGAGUGAAGAAGGUCUUCGGAUCGUAAAGCUCUGUUGAGAGGGACGAGAGACAUAAUCAGGAAAUGGGUUAUGGAGGACGGUACCUUUCGAGGAAGCCACGGCUAACUACGUGCCAGCAGCCGCGGUAAUACGUAGGUGGCGAGCGUUGUCCGGAAUUAUUGGGCGUAAAGGGAGCGCAGGUGGGAAAGUAAGUCAGUCUUAAAAAGUUCGGGGCUCAACCCCGUGAUGGGAUUGAAACUACUUUCUUGAGUGCAGGAGAGGAAAGCGGAAUUCCUAGUGUAGCGGUGAAAUGCAUAGAUAUGACGCAGAACCCCGAUUGCGAAGGCAGCUUUCCAGCACGCGACUGACGCUGAGGCACGAAAGCGUGGGGAGCGAACAGGAUUAGAUACCCUGGUAGU
This 446-nucleotide ribosomal RNA is filed under the name uncultured Anaerovibrio sp. RNAcentral's name for it is "bacterial SSU rRNA". It matches the Rfam family "Bacterial small subunit ribosomal RNA", at positions 355 to 794 of the family's 1533-position model. The record is from RNAcentral. Lineage: Bacteria; Bacillati; Bacillota; Negativicutes; Selenomonadales; Selenomonadaceae.